This 394-nucleotide ribosomal RNA is filed under the name uncultured Chrysophyceae. RNAcentral describes it as "partial small subunit ribosomal RNA". It matches the Rfam family "Eukaryotic small subunit ribosomal RNA", at positions 30 to 432 of the family's 1831-position model. The record is from RNAcentral. Lineage: Eukaryota; Chrysophyceae.
GCUUGUCUCAAAGAUUAAGCCAUGCAUGUCUAAGUAUAAACGAAUUUAUACUGUGAAACUGCGAACGGCUCAUUAUAUCAGUUAUAGUUUAUUUGAUACUUUUCGACUAUUGGAUAACCGUAGUAAUUCUAGAGCUAAUACAUGCGUCAAAACCCAACUUCUGGGAGGGUUGUAUUUAUUAGAUGGAAACCAAUGCGGGGCAACCCGGUAUAUGGUGAUUCAUAAUAACUUUCGGAUCGAUCUUCGGAUCGAUGCAUCAUUCAAGUUUCUGCCCUAUCAGCUUUGGAUGGUAGGGUAUUGGCCUACCAUGGCUUUAACGGGUAACGGAGAAUUAGGGUUCGAUUCCGGAGAGGGAGCCUGAGAAAUGGCUACCACAUCCAAGGAAGGCAGCAGG